Spinacia oleracea (spinach) is the source of this 5018-nucleotide long non-coding RNA. RefSeq lists it as uncharacterized. The record is from RefSeq and is a predicted model, not a curated record. Lineage: Eukaryota; Viridiplantae; Streptophyta; Magnoliopsida; Caryophyllales; Amaranthaceae. The transcript has 2 exons.
ACAUAUCACCGCCAAUAAAGCUCUCUUCACCGGAAAUAUUUAACCCUAAUCCCUCAUUUUCUCUAUCCUUUCUAUUUAUGUAACCUUCAUCCCAGAACUUGCGAUCAAAAUCCAAAACCUAACCCUAGAUUAUGAUUACUCUUCCUACUCUUCGUGCAAAUUCUUCCUCAAAACUCAUCAAUUUGGGGAAGAAUGCGUCUACAUUCUCUUAUUUAAAGCACCGGAUGAGUGUCGAUUUGGUUUUUGAAACGAGAAUUGAAAAAAUCGAUCUUCGAAUCUAAUUUUUCCUCAAGUGAAGAUCGAUGUAAAUCUUCACUUUGGGAAAAAUCAGUAAUGCGAGGGUUUUGACGGAGCUUCUUGAUGAAGAAGUAGAAGUACGAGGAACUCACCGAAGAUGAUUAGAGAUGUUGACAUAAGGAGGGAAUGCUAUGUUGGGAAUACAGUGUAAUAGAGGAGUUCGUGAUAAUAUAGCUGCACCAAAAGAAGUUUUACAGUUGACGAUUUUAUUCUGGGAUUAUUCGUUUGCUGAAGUUAUGUGUAACAUUUUAUUUAUGACAAUAAUGUACUAUUUUAGAGUCGUCUCGGUGUGAGUUAAUGGACUUUUGAAGGAAAUCUAGGUUGAUUGAUACAUAAUAGAGCGAGUGAUGUUAAUUAGAGAGCUGAAUGUUGUUGUAAGAAACUGUGUGGGCCGUGGGGUAUAAUUUUACAACUUCGUUUCACGAAUCUCUUUAAAAAUACUCAUUUGGAUCAAACGUUUAGUUUUUUAACAUAAUAUUUUUGGAGUGUCCACUUAUUUUUUGUACUUUAUAGAGGUUAUAUAUAUAUAUAUAGAGAGAGAGAGAGAGAGAGUAGAUUGAGCUUUUGAUGUUAUAGAGGUUGUGUUUGUUAUAGGUUUAUGGAAAGUUCUUUUUUGAAAGCUAUCGAGAAAUUGUGAAGUCUUCUUUAGUGGACAUUUUGAGAGGAAUAUGGGAAACCAAGUCCGUUAUGAAAUGCUGCUUGGAGAAAAGAAAUGUAAGUAAUUUUUUUUGUUGAUGGCUUAUGAAGCAGGUGUUGUAGAGAAAGAGGGGAUUUUGUGGCAGUAAAUUACUAUGGGGCGAAAAGGUUUGGAUUUUUGAGAUCACCUGUGAGAGCGUAAUGUAUUAAAGGCUGUUGAAUAGCCAGAAAUAUGUUGAAAGGCUUGUUAUUGACUAGCCGAAGUUUGUGGUGAAUAUAGGAUGCUCAGUUCCAUUUACUUUGUUGGUUGUCAAUCCUUGUCAUCGUGGAGUGGCUUUAUAUGUCUAUUGUGUAACUGUAUCAUGUAUAGCAUGCAAGUUGUUAUUCUCAUGGCAUAAAAAGAGCAUUCUUGUGAAUGUCUAUUGUAUGCUAGGUGUUUUCUUAUGGAUGUAAAGGAUGCUCCGUUUGGAUUUAAGACAAGGAAAUAAAAUUCCCCAUUGGUAGCGGAAGUUGUCCAUUUAGCGGCGACAAUUCUAUUUUAAUAGCAAAAAAUAUCUUGCCAGUUUUACAAGUGACGGACUAACAGGGUCAUAUCCGGUGAACCUUCAAAAUAAAUUACGUCGCUGUAUAAGUGGAUCUCAUUGUGAAAGAGCUAAUCCUAUAAUGGUUGUUGCAUAUUCGAUUUCUAGGUUUUGGUUGUUGAUAGGUGUUGACUUAAUGAUGAAAAGUUUCCACUUGGAGCAUAGGUGAGAACUGAGAAGGGGUUCAUUGACUAUUGAUACUGAAGAUAUGACAGUGUAGACCUGUAGUCGAACUGUCAAACAUGCUUUAAUGUUAACUUGAAUGUAGAGCGUAAGGAAAUAUUUCCACCAAGUAAAAGUCCUUUGACGUUGGCUUACAGAGUCACAGGGGUUUAAAGCUUUGGAGUCAGAUUUCCUUUUGUUCUUUGUUACUCGACUUUUUAUUUGCCUCAGGUACCCGUGUCUGAUUCUCAACCCCCCUACAUGGUUUGGACACUUAAACACUUACAAUAUGGGGGAAAACGAUGGGAACUUUCAGAAAAUAGCCGAAUCGGACACUUUGAACACAAGUACCUGAGUCCGAGUUAAAUUAUGAAGAACAUUUCAAGGUGACCGCAUACUUCUUUGUUGAAUUGUAGUUGUCGACUUUGGAAAUUAUAGAAGCUACAAUGGUGGUUUCUUUUGUUGGAGUUUUUGGGUGAUGUUCAUGAAAUUAAUUGCAGACCCAAGUCUAGUAUUUAAUUUUGGUUAUACUUAUACUCCUUUAACAUGGAGCCUGGGAACUUCCAAUGUGUAGAGCUCUAAAUAGAUUUUGAAUAUUUAAAAAAAAAAAAAAAUUGAAUUAUUUUGUUUAGUUAUAGUAAUAUUGUGGCAGAACUAAUAAAGUAGCCAAGGAAAUUGCUUGAAACCUUGUUUAGGGGAUAGUUAGGUAGAGACGUAGAGUACUCGAGCUAGGGUUUUCUGCUGUUUGAAGUUUCAUGGUGGUUCCAAAAUCAGCUCUGCUUGCUUGAUUUUGCAGUAGUCACUUGUGCUUUGAGAGUAUGGAACAGUGAACUUGUAAAUUUCAUGUUUUCCCAAUCAAGCCAAUUAUUUUGGAAUACAGGUCUAAAUCAAAGUUCUACUACACUUUUGGCUUGAGAAUGUGUGAAUUUGAAAAUUGAUUUGACAAGAACCUUUAAUUUUUACGUUCUGGAAUUUUCUCAAUGGAAUUGUGGAUAUCAAACUCAUGCAAUUCCCCCUCCCCUUUUAGAGAGCAUAUGUUAAAUAUUAAAUAUUGAAUCCCCAUGCGAGAGCUAAAGGUGGAAAUGAUUGAUGACUGUAAGAGUUCACUGGGCCUUAGCAAUAUGACUUUAUGAGUACAUGAGAUGUCUCUGGACAAAUUACUCCGUAUUUGAUUUCAGACCCGGCAGUAAUGAAAGGGAGUAAGGGAGACUCGUCACCAAGACAGUGCUUCUUAUUUUGUCCCCGUAAAGUCUUUCUGAAAUAUGCUGGUGUAUUGCUAGAUGUUUAGUUGUCCCCGUAACGUAGUUGUUGUAAGGAAAUUUUUGCUGAAAGUGAUUUAACCUUAUUGCUUGUCCUUUUUGUGAUUCUGAGAUGGAGACCAUUGAACAACAUCUCUUUUUUGCUUGCGGAUACUCUAAUACGACUGUUUGGGCUUAAGCUUUUGUUUCUUAAGACCAAUAGGAGCCCUGGGGCUUGCUGAAGAGUGGCAGCUUGUUCUGAGAACGGAGUAAAAGGACUUCCAGCAGAACCAGUAAGGUGUUUUCGGUUUUGUUCUCUAAAGCUGUGUCUACUGUUUGUGGAUUCAGAAAAAUACAAGAGUUUUUGCUGGCAGGGAUUAGACUGUGAUGGAGAUUGUUUUCAGGGCAGCUUGUUGAUGCCAAGAUUCAAUCCUUGGUUUUCCUAUGAGUCAUUUGUUUACAGUUAGUCUGUAGUCAUUUUUGUAAGGCUGUGUAGUUUUGGUGUUUGUCGGUAAGUCGACGCGGCUGUUGUUGCUUGUACUUCCGGCGUACUUUUUGUUGUUGUUGUUGCUGCUGCCUUGUACUCCUGCGUUUUUUGUUGUUGCUUGUUAGGAAGGUAGAAGAGAGAUUUGGUGGGGUUUGUGUAAGAAAAUACGAAGUAGGAGGAAAGAAAGUGAAACAAACGGGAUUUGGUGGGGUUUGGUGUUAUGAAGGAAGAGAGGGAGAGAAAGUGGGAGCCAUGGAGGAGAUGAGAUAAUAAGGGGUUAAAUAUCUCUUUUAGAUGGAAUAAAGGAGUGAAGGCAGGUGAAGCUCAGCUGAGUUCACAAGUGUUGAUAAAUAAAGGCGGUGGUUAUAUGAAGCAAAUUAAGAUGCUAGUGUUUUCUCAUCUCCAAAAGCAACUCUUUACAUUCGAACUGCCUAUAUAUUUCCAGUAAUGCCUCUUACAACUAAAUCUGGUAGGACUAAGGCUGGCGGGAGGGAAUUGUACUGGACUGUAAACCUUUAACCGAACUUAUACAGCUAUGCUUGGAGUUAUAAUUACUGCACCUGUUAUGACUAGCCCUUCUUUGAAUUUGUCUAACCUUAUUAUUCCCGUAUCUUUUUUAUUGGAGGUAAAAAUAACAAAGCUGCAUGUUCUCGUGGUAAAUUAUAAACCAGAGCAGGAAGUAGUUUUUACAGGACUUGAAAAAAAAAAAGGGGAUAUGAAAUUCUUUUUUCCUGUGACUAAUGAGGCGUAAUGACCUAUUCAUCCACUGAAUAACUGGAUGCAUUAACCACCAGUACACCAUCCAUUUCCUUGGCCUUUUAUUUUCAACCAGUGGAGCUCUUUUAUUUACUUUUUCCUUUAGGGGAUCGGACCUGGAGAAAUAGCACAAGAUUUUCCAGCCUUUUGAUAAUCCCAAGUGCUGUACGUUGAUGUACAAAUAACAGAACCAUGCUCUUCUUGCGAAUUGUGCCUAGUAAGGAACGGCUGUCCGAACUGUUGAUGGGCCUGAUAUCAUGUCCUCUAGGAGGAGGUCGAGAAGUGCUCGAGCAAUAGGACCUUCAUUUCCUGCACAAUAUCCAUCACCACGAAGACACAAUCAUAUGUUUAGAAAUAUACUCCCUCCGGCCCUAAGGCUCUGUUUGGUAAGGCGUAAAACGUUUCAUUGUAAAACAAUUUUUCAUGUAAAACAGUUUUCAAGGGAAAAUACAAUUUCAAACUAGUUUUCAUUUGUUUGGUAACUGGGAGAAGAUGGUGAAGAUUGAGUGGAAGAAAGGAGAGGAGGUAAGGAGGAAAGAAGGAAAAGUGGUUUCCCUCCCUUUCAAAUGGAAAAGGGUUUUCCAUCAUUGAGAGAGUAAUAGAAAAUUGUUUUCCAUCCCUUACCCAACCAAACAACGUGAAAUGAUUUAAAAGGGGAAAAUCGUUUUCCAUGAAAACCUUUUACGCCCUGUCAAACGGAGCCUAAUUGUUUUUACCGUUUCCUUUUAAGGUGUCUGAAAACGAUCUUUCCAUUUCUUUUCUUUCCUUUUUAACGUUGUAAUUUUAUUAGUUUAUUAGUAAAAGGCUUUGUAAUCUCAUUUGGUUGGUUUUAAUUUUGAUGGAUUAAUGUGUUGUACUUUA